RNAcentral lists this ribosomal RNA (28 nucleotides) under Tiquilia hispidissima. RNAcentral's name for it is "partial 18S ribosomal RNA". The record is from RNAcentral. Lineage: Eukaryota; Viridiplantae; Streptophyta; Magnoliopsida; Boraginales; Ehretiaceae.
CGUAGGUGAACCUGAGGAAGGAUCGUUG